This is a long non-coding RNA of Gadus morhua (Atlantic cod), 2626 nucleotides long. RefSeq lists it as uncharacterized. The transcript has 2 exons. NCBI's taxonomy places the organism in Eukaryota, Metazoa, Chordata, Actinopteri, Gadiformes, Gadidae. The record is from RefSeq and is a predicted model, not a curated record.
UAUGUAUCAGACAUGCAUUAUAGAUUGAACGAGUCUGGCCGUUGGGCAGGGUUUGUCUUGGGCCAGCGUUUGAGGCGCUGAUCGUCUGGUCCGACCCUGGGUGUCUGAAAUCACAACCAGAAGGUUCCGAGGCUCACGCAAAACACUGGAAAUAUGUAGCUUCAGGAAAGACAGACAGACAACACACACUCAAAAAAAAAAAAAAAAGCACUUAAGACAUAGGUUGCAAUCAAUACCACUAAUUAGAAAUGUGUCAAAGAAUGCAGCGUUUCACAUCAUUUAGUCGGUGUGGUUAAUUCUUCCCUAUCUGGUGUGAAGCUGUGUCUCGUCCAAGGCACAGGGUUAGGAGCAGCACAGUAAAAUGUUUAAGACGCCAUUACGGCAAGGUCAACAAGAAUCCUGUCGCGAGCGUUGGUCACGCUGCUCCAUGAGGUGUCCAGGUUGAGUGGUUGGAUUGUAACUUACUCUUAAUAUUUACGUUUACAAUUUGUGCAGUUAUUUCAGAUAUACAUUUUGAAGUUUGACAUUUUGAACAAAGUUUUCAUUAUGGUGUUUGCAACUGUUGUUGCCCUGUCAUCUCUUUGCUAAAUUAGUUUGGAGUUAGUUAAAAUUGAAAUAUAAAUGUUGCAUAUUAUACAUUGAUCUUAAUAUAAGAGAAUGUCUUCAGCUAGCUGUAGCACCAUUAUUUUGAUAUCUUACUUUCAUCCCUGUAUGAUCAACAACAAUAUAUCGCUGCACAUUAACGGGAGAUAUCCAUUAUAGUAGCCAGACUAUAAGCCUCGUACUCCCAGAAUGCACCUUGGCUUUGCAGCUCAUGAAAGAGAGGGAGAUAGCACAAUUCGUUCUUGGUAACGUAGGAUGCUAAUAUGGACACACAUUGGAGUUAGAACCCAGUUCAUUUAUGCUGGACCCCAACAGCAUUAAAUCUCAAAUCUGAAAAUGUACCUAGAAACAUGUUUUAUAAAGUACCAAUGUUAAAAGUCUGCUUUAUAGAUCGUCUCUUUGAUUUAUUAUAGCUGUAGUGUCCACCAGAGCUUAUCGCUUUCACUGAAAGAAACCACCAGGUGAACUGACAGAAAAACUAAAAACAGAACACUGUUAUGUUAAACUCAUCAUCCAGCCACAGAGGGGCCAACCGUUCCGUUUGCUUUCGACCAAUCGCAACCCCCUCCCCACCUCCUCACCCAGACACAUCCAUACUCACUAUUUAUUCCAAUCUCUUCCCCAGACUUCUCUUUCUUAUCUCUAUCGCUCUUACACACACACACACACACACACACACACACACACACACACACACACACACACACACACACACACACACACACACACACACACACACACACUCUGUCGGUCUCACCCUCCAGCUGGGGCCUAUUAGUCUAUCUCCUGCGCUACAGGAAGUGAACUAUCAUUUAGGGCUGACAGGUACAUAGACUGGAUCUUACUGGCUGUCCUGCUGUUGUGCUCCCACAACAGGCCAGUCUUUCUGUAACAACGCCCAGGGACUCCUGGGGACUCCUCCUCUUUACCAGCUAACCCUGCAUAGGUAUAUAUAGGUGUUUUAGUGUGGUGCAUAAUGGCACACACCCCUUACUGUAACCUUGGAGAGAGCUCUGGUAAGCUGCAUCCUAUGAGUCAGUACAUUUCAGCACUGAACUAUCUAGUAUGGUACUAUAAACUAUACUUAAGGCUAUGCUACGUAACAUUUCUACUGCAGCUAUUUACCCACCCGAGUCAUUUCAUCCAGGGAAUUGUUCUAUGUAACUGCGGUUCCACCGUGGGCCGUAACUAACUUCCGUCUGAGAAUGAUAUAUCUAUAACUGUAGGUACAACUCCGGCCACUAGGGGCUGCUAACGGGAAGACUUGCACAAUGGGGGAUAAAGUCGUUUGUUUUGAAGGCAUGGGACCGACAGAUGUAGGGAAACAGAACGACAGAAACACACACACACACACACACACACACACACACACACACACACACACACACACACACACACACACACACACACACACACACACACACACACACACACACACACUCACUUUUACUCAGCUGUUGUUCAGCCUUUCUUUUUGUUUGUGAAGGAGAAGAGAGAGGAGAAGAGAGCUUUGGAAAGAGAACCAUGGGGCCCAUGACUUCAGAGCAGUAUGCGAUUCCUGCUAAUGAGUUUCUACUCAUUGGUAAAACCCUAAUGAAUUUGCACAAAUGAUCUCCAUUUAACGACGGCGCUGACGUCCCCCUUCCUGACUCCGGGGCACCUCUCAGCUGUGGCUAUCGGGUUCACGAUGGCAGAUUCCAAAAAUGACUCAGAGGCAAUAACAACGGCAUCCACCCAAAGAGCGACGGGAAGGAGAUUAAAGAGGUUCAACUCUAGCUCCACGGCCUCUACUCCUAUCGCACUACAUCAAGUCUGUCCGGUGAUGUCAGCCUGGCUGCUGGUGAAUGCUAAGCGCCGUGGACAGCUUCACCUCUGAGACGCCUGUCAGAGGGGACGUUGACAUUCAGAGACACAGUGCGUCUCAUCCUAGGUCUGGUGACCAAAGAAGGCUAAAGAAUUCCAUUGCCAGCGACAGCUCUGUAAUUGUCGUGUAUAUGACAAUAAAACCAACUUGAAUCUUGAA